GACGAACGCUGGCGGCGUGCUUAACACAUGCAAGUCGAACGGAAAGGCCCUGCUUUUGUGGGGUGCUCGAGUGGCGAACGGGUGAGUAACACGUGAGUAACCUGCCCUUGACUUUGGGAUAACUUCAGGAAACUGGGGCUAAUACUGGAUAGGAGCUCCUGCUGCAUGGUGGGGGUUGGAAAGUUUCGGCGGUUGGGGAUGGACUCGCGGCUUAUCAGCUUGUUGGUGGGGUAGUGGCUUACCAAGGCUUUGACGGGUAGCCGGCCUGAGAGGGUGACCGGCCACAUGGGGACUGAGAUACGGCCCAGACUCCUACGGGAGGCAGCAGUGGGGAAUAUUGCACAAUGGGCGGAAGCCUGAUGCAGCAACGCCGCGUGCGGGAGGACGGCCUUCGGGUGGUAAACCGCUUUCGCCUGUGACGAAGCGUGAGUGACGGGAAUGGGUAAAGAAGCACCGGCUAACUACGU
Molecule: ribosomal RNA, 467 nt
Filed under: uncultured bacterium
Lineage: Bacteria
Description: partial 16S ribosomal RNA
Rfam family: Bacterial small subunit ribosomal RNA
Source: RNAcentral